UUCCCCAUGAUACAAGAAAACAUGGUAUGCUACGGAGAUAGCGAGUUUAAGCACCAUUCGCGCAGAUUCCAACUAACGUCACACUGUGUUUACGUUUUUGACAUUUUUUGAGCAAGCACCAGACAUAACCAUAAAUUUAGGUUAGAAAACAGAGGUUAUGUCAAUUGUUAAAGUUAUUAAUAUUGAAAUUACAAAUUGUAAUUUAACAUAAGCGGGAAGAAUAUUAUUGCAUUGUAAAGGAAGCUUUAAUUUGUAUUAUGAAACUGGCCUAAAGAUCGGUGUAUGCAGCUUCAUUUAAUAAAUCAACCAUAACACGACAUAAGUAAUGCCGCUGUAAAAGGUAAGCAAAUGGAUAUAUUAUAUUAUAAUCAUGUAAUUUACUGAAUAAAUUUCUUUAUUUUCCUUUUAGUGUUUUUCUGAUUUGAAGUUUUCUUGUUUAAUUCUUUGAUUCUAAUAAAAGUUCUAGUUCGAACCAGGCAGUGUAAUACCUCCUUUGGUAAUGUUACCGUUGGAGAUAAUUUAGUUUGAAGUUGAUGUGUUAACUUCUUAAAAAUGUUUGGCGCUUUGUUGAUACCAUCUCCGUUAUAAAGUAGAAACAACGUCUCUAAAAUUUUUGCUGCAUGUAUUAAAUCAGCACAAGGCUGCAGCAAGUUGCCUUGCGAAAGAAAGUGGAUCCAAUUGGAACUGCUUGGUCCAGGUAUAUUUUCCGCAGGAGUUCCAAGAUGUGGAUAUUUUAACCGGAAACGGUGAGCAACAUAUCCAGCAACGUAUUGAAGUCCUUCCUGGCUGACUUGAGUAUUGGGAAGAUUUAUUUCAAUUUCAGCGAACUCGUCAGCAAAGUGGAGAGUUGCCACAUCGCUUUCCUUACUUAACAUUUCAUCUUCAAUACCAGUGUCCAAAAUAUUUGAAAAUAAUGAAUGAGUCAAACAAAUAUCACUGUUACCAGACUCAUCGGAGAAAGAAAAGACUGCAGAGUGUUUGCCCAAAAUGUACCACCUCAACCUGUAUUUAAAGUCAACAGGAUUAGGAUGGUCAUUGCUACCACCCAUGGCACGAAUGAAAGAAAAAAAAUUCUCCAAUACGUCUUGGUUUAGGCGACGUGUUAAAAUGUAGUCCACUUUAAAGAUGUGGGUAAUAUAUUGGUACAAACCUUGCAGGGACUUGUUACUUAUGAUAAUUCCUUUUUGGAAUGGUAACAGUGUUUUUUUCCCAAUUCCUCGAACAUGUGACAUUGUUUCAGUCAUUGUAUUUAUAAUGAGGUCCUGAUGGUCCAAAUUUAUGCCAUAUGCAUUACUUCCAGAAGGACAGAAUUUCAAAUUCGUAUUAAAAAUAUCGAACCAGUCAUUGGCUAAUUUUAUAAAGUUCGAUGUUUCUGCAUAAUUUGUAUCCUUUAUUAAGUUGUUGUCCCCACACCAUUGUAUGGCUUUGGACACUGUGUUAGAAAGUAAUUGUGCAGCAGGUCUGACUUUUUGUCUUUGGCUCCCUUUGACAUCUAAAUGAUAACGACUAAUCUUAUGAGCGAUUUUCAAGUCACUGCCAGAAGAAAUCGAUAAUAAUGAUUCUAUACAGUUUUUUGUGAUCAUUUGUCCGUCAAACACAAAACCAUGGUCCAGAAAAUGAUUUCUCAAUAAUUUCAGAAGAUGCGGCACGUCGGCAAACACAAAAAUUUGUUUGCUUUCAUCAGAUGGAUGAUUAAAACAGCGGUGUCGAAAUCAAAAUAAAUGGGCUGUUUCCAUUGGGCAAAUAGACCACGACACAUUAUUACUUGCACAGCACGAUUUGGACCAAACACUUGUUCAAGUGAUUUAUCAAAACAGACUUGAUGAUUUAUAUACAUUUCAUCAAAAGACAAAACCGUGAUGCGUUCAAGGUCUGUUAAAAUGCGAGCUUUAUCUUUUAUCAAGACUGCCACAGAUUUUAAAAAACCCUGCCUAAUGUCAAAUGAGAGGGCCCAUUUGCGAAGUGUACUCAGAGCUGGUAGUGGAAAUUUGCACUGUUGUCUUUCUGCGUCUGAACAAUGAAGACCAGAAAUGGGUGAAACUGUGGGCUGUACGACUUGGGUUGAACCUUUAUUGCUAGGAGACAUCGGGGUGUGUUGCACAGGGCUAUAUUGUAACAACUGCUGUUGAAGUGAUUUGUAUGAAGCUUCUGAAGAAAAGUGUUCUGAGCAUAUUCGAGCUGAAAUAAAAAAUUCUAAACAUUUUGUUCUGGUUAAUAUGCCUUUAUUUAUUCGCGAAGUGAGAAAAAAAGACAAUUCUAUUUUGCUUACAGUUAGAUAAACUAUUUAUUUUGUACAAAAAUGUUACCUUGUUGCGAAAAAACAAAUCUUUUAUUGUCAAGCGGGUACAUUUAUUCAGAAUUUUGAUAAACUGGCGCUCUAUUUUCAUCGAAUUUUCAAAUGGUCGGGGACAGUGAUACAUAAUUACUUACCAUUUUUAACAUUAAUAUUUCCUCUCAGGCAAAACUUUACCCAUUCGUCACAAAUGUCUUUAUUUUUUGGAAAACGAUAAAACUUAAUAUCUUUACACUUAUAACGGCUAUUGGAGCACCCAAACACUGCACAAGAAGUCAUUUUCGUAAAAAGAGAAUCUUAGCCUGUAGGUACGGCAGUAGAUUACAACUGCUAAUGAAUGGAGAAUACGGAAUAUAAUGAAGAUGUGGGUGAAGUGGAUCGCAAAAAAAAAACAAUUUACAGGGAAAGAUAGUUAAAUCAGAUAUAAAGAU
Molecule: long non-coding RNA, 2724 nt
Organism: Zophobas morio
Lineage: Eukaryota; Metazoa; Arthropoda; Insecta; Coleoptera; Tenebrionidae
Exons: 6
Source: RefSeq, a predicted model, not a curated record